RNAcentral lists this ribosomal RNA (497 nucleotides) under uncultured bacterium. RNAcentral describes it as "partial 16S ribosomal RNA". It matches the Rfam family "Bacterial small subunit ribosomal RNA", at positions 30 to 523 of the family's 1533-position model. The record is from RNAcentral.
AUUGAACGCUGGCGGCAUGCCUUACACAUGCAAGUCGAACGGUAACAGGUCUUCGGAUGCUGACGAGUGGCGAACGGGUGAGUAAUACAUCGGAACGUGCCUAGUAGUGGGGGAUAACUACUCGAAAGAGUGGCUAAUACCGCAUAAGAUCUACGGAUGAAAGCAGGGGAUCGCAAGACCUUGUGCUACUAGAGCGGCCGAUGGCAGAUUAGGUAGUUGGUGGGAUAAAAGCUUACCAAGCCGACGAUCUGUAGCUGGUCUGAGAGGACGAUCAGCCACACUGGACUGAGACACGGCCCAGACUCCUACGGGAGGCAGCAGUGGGGAAUUUUGGACAAUGGGCGAAAGCCUGAUCCAGCAAUGCCGCGUGCAGGAUGAAGGCCUUCGGGUUGUAAACUGCUUUUGUACGGAACGAAAAGCCCCGGGUUAAUACCCUGGGGUCAUGACGGUACCGUAAGAAUAAGCACCGGCUAACUACGUGCCAGCAGCCGCCGUAA